GACGAACGCUGGCGGCGUGCUUAACACAUGCAAGUCGAACGGAAAGGCCCUGCUUUUGUGGGGUGCUCGAGUGGCGAACGGGUUAGUAACACGUGAGUAACCUGCCCUUGACUUUGGGAUAACUUCAGGAAACUGGGGCUAAUACCGGAUAGGAGCUCCUGCUGCAUGGUGGGGGUUGGAAAGUUUCGGCGGUUGGGGAUGGACUCGCGGCUUAUCAGCUUGUUGGUGGGGUAGUGGCUUACCAAGGCUUUGACGGGUAGCCGGCCUGGGAGGGUGACCGGCCACGUAGGGAAUGAGAUACGGCCCAGACUCGUACGGGAAGCAGCAGUGGGGAAUAUUACACAAGGGGCGGAAGCCUGUUGCAGCAACGCCGCGUGCGGGAUUAGGGCCUUCGGGUUGUAGACCGAUUUCGCCUGUGACGAAGCGGGGGUGACGGUAAUGGGUAAAGAAGCACCGGCUAACUACGUG
RNAcentral lists this ribosomal RNA (468 nucleotides) under uncultured bacterium. RNAcentral's name for it is "partial 16S ribosomal RNA". It matches the Rfam family "Bacterial small subunit ribosomal RNA", at positions 28 to 507 of the family's 1533-position model. The record is from RNAcentral.